UUAGUGAAAGGUCGCUGAAUGCUGCUUUAGAGGGACCUCCCUCUUCCUAGACAAGCAAAAACCAGUGUUUAGAUUCAUUUACGGAGGGCCAUUUACUUCCUGUUGCCCACACAAUCUUAGUUUUACCCUUCCUAUUACUCAGCGAUUUCAUAUAAGCUAAACUGUCAGCAUAUGAGAAACAUCUCUGCCAAUGAGAUUUUUUUUUUUUCUUCAGAAAACCUCGCCAAGUUUAUGAGCCAAGAAAUAGCUGAAUUAUAAUGCCUGGAACUUCAAAGAGAAAGAGGAGUGAAUGAGCUAAAUGCUGAACUCUAAGGAAAGUCUUGGAAGUUUCCAGAAAGCAUGUGGAUUGUGCCACCAGAAGAAAAGGAUGAAAUGUCUGACUUUACAAUAAUCAUGAAUGGGAUCCUGGGCCCAAUUUUCAGUGUUACAGAAAAACACAGCACAACAAAAGAAAAACCAUGAAACUCAUGAGCUGGUUAUGGAAUAUCAUGACUCUUCCCUUACAUCCAGUAAGACCUCUUAAGGGUUCAGUCAUAGCCUUUGCUCAACCCAGUUUAAGUCAUCAGGACCUCCUCUUCCUCCCUUCCUUCCCUCCUUCCUUCCUUGAUUCCUUUCUCUUUCUUUCUUCCUUCCUUCCUUUUCUUUUUUCUUUCUCCUUUCAAGUUUAAUUAUUUAUUGACAUUUUUAUUUUAUUCUUGAGAUUAUAAUUAUUUUUCCACUUCCCUUUCUUUCCUCCAGACUCUCCCACUCUGCCAUGUAUCCCUCCUUGCUCUCUUUCAAAUUCAUGACUUUCUUUUUUUUUCAUUACUUGUCUCAUUACAUGUAUGUAUGCAUAUGUAUAGACAUGUAUAUUCCAAAAUAUAUCCUGCUUAGUCUUU
Peromyscus leucopus (white-footed mouse) is the source of this 878-nucleotide long non-coding RNA. RefSeq lists it as uncharacterized. The record is from RefSeq and is a predicted model, not a curated record. The transcript is spliced from 2 exons. NCBI's taxonomy places the organism in Eukaryota, Metazoa, Chordata, Mammalia, Rodentia, Cricetidae.